Molecule: ribosomal RNA, 254 nt
Filed under: uncultured bacterium
Lineage: Bacteria
Description: partial 16S ribosomal RNA
Rfam family: Bacterial small subunit ribosomal RNA
Source: RNAcentral
UACGUAGGGUGCGAGCGUUGUCCGGAAUUACUGGGCGUAAAGAGCUCGUAGGUGGUUUGUCGCGUUGUUCGUGAAAUCUCACGGCUUAACUGUGAGCGUGCGGGCGAUACGGGCAGACUAGAGUACUGCAGGGGGAGACUGGAAUUCCUGGUGUAGCGGUGGAAUGCGCAGAUAUCAGGAGGAACACCGGUGGCGAAGGCGGGUCUCUGGGCAGUAACUGACGCUGAGGAGCGAAAGCGUGGGGAGCGAACAGG